CGAUACAGGGUGACAGCCCCGUACACAAAAAUGCACAUACUGUGAGCUCGAUGAGUAGGGCGGGACACGUGGUAUCCUGUCUGAAUAUGGGGGGACCAUCCUCCAAGGCUAAAUACUCCUGACUGACCGAUAGUGAACCAGUACCGUGAGGGAAAGGCGAAAAGAACCCCGGCGAGGGGAGUGAAAAAGAACCUGAAACCGUGUACGUACAAGCAGUGGGAGCCUCUUAAUGGGGUGACUGCGUACCUUUUGUAUAAUGGGUCAGCGACUUAUAUUCUGUAGCAAGGUUAACCGAAUAGGGGAGCCGAAGGGAAACCGAGUCUUAACUGGGCGCUAAGUUGCAGGGUAUAGACCCGAAACCCGGUGAUCUAGCCAUGGGCAGGUUGAAGGUUGGGUAACACUAACUGGAGGACCGAACCGACUAAUGUUGAAAAAUUAGCGGAUGACUUGUGGCUGGGGGUGAAAGGCCAAUCAAACCGGGAGAUAGCUGGUUCUCCCCGAAAGCUAUUUAGGUAGCGCCUCGUGAAUUCAUCUCCGGGGGUAGAGCACUGUUUCGGCAAGGGGGUCAUCCCGACUUACCAACCCGAUGCAAACUGCGAAUACCGGAGAAUGUUAUCACGGGAGACACACGGCGGGUGCUAACGUCCGUCGUGAAGAGGGAAACAACCCAGACCGCCAGCUAAGGUCCCAAAGUCAUGGUUAAGUGGGAAACGAUGUGGGAAGGCCCAGACAGCCAGGAUGUUGGCUUAGAAGCAGCCAUCAUUUAAAGAAAGCGUAAUAGCUCACUGGUCGAGUCGGCCUGCGCGGAAGAUGUAACGGGGCUAAACCAUGCACCGAAGCUGCGGCAGCGACACUAUGUGUUGUUGGGUAGGGGAGCGUUCUGUAAGCCUGUGAAGGUGGCCUGUGAGGGUUGCUGGAGGUAUCAGAAGUGCGAAUGCUGACAUAAGUAACGAUAAAGCGGGUGAAAAGCCCGCUCGCCGGAAGACCAAGGGUUCCUGUCCAACGUUAAUCGGGGCAGGGUGAGUCGACCCCUAAGGCGAGGCCGAAAGGCGUAGUCGAUGGGAAACAGGUUAAUAUUCCUGUACUUGGUGUUACUGCGAAGGGGGGACGGAGAAGGCUAUGUUGGCCGGGCGACGGUUGUCCCGGUUUAAGCGUGUAGGCUGGUUUUCCAGGCAAAUCCGGAAAACCAAGGCUGAGGCGUGAUGACGAGGCACUACGGUGCUGAAGCGACAAAUGCCCUGCUUCCAGGAAAAGCCUCUAAGCAUCAGGUAACAUCAAAUCGUACCCCAAACCGACACAGGUGGUCAGGUAGAGAAUACCAAGGCGCUUGAGAGAACUCGGGUGAAGGAACUAGGCAAAAUGGUGCCGUAACUUCGGGAGAAGGCACGCUGAUAUGUAGGUGAAGCGACUUGCUCGUGGAGCUGAAAUCAGUCGAAGAUACCAGCUGGCUGCAACUGUUUAUUAAAAACACAGCACUGUGCAAACACGAAAGUGGACGUAUACGGUGUGACGCCUGCCCGGUGCCGGAAGGUUAAUUGAUGGGGUUAGCGGUAACGCGAAGCUCUUGAUCGAAGCCCCGGUAAACGGCGGCCGUAACUAUAACGGUCCUAAGGUAGCGAAAUUCCUUGUCGGGUAAGUUCCGACCUGCACGAAUGGCGUAAUGAUGGCCAGGCUGUCUCCACCCGAGACUCAGUGAAAUUGAACUCGCUGUGAAGAUGCAGUGUACCCGCGGCAAGACGGAAAGACCCCGUGAACCUUUACUAUAGCUUGACACUGAACAUUGAGCCUUGAUGUGUAGGAUAGGUGGGAGGCUUUGAAGUGUGGACGCCAGUCUGCAUGGAGCCGACCUUGAAAUACCACCCUUUAAUGUUUGAUGUUCUAACGUUGGCCCCUAAUCGGGGUUGCGGACAGUGUCUGGUGGGUAGUUUGACUGGGGCGGUCUCCUCCUAAAGAGUAACGGAGGAGCACGAAGGUUGGCUAAUCCUGGUCGGACAUCAGGAGGUUAGUGCAAUGGCAUAAGCCAGCUUGACUGCGAGCGUGACGGCGCGAGCAGGUGCGAAAGCAGGUCAUAGUGAUCCGGUGGUUCUGAAUGGAAGGGCCAUCGCUCAACGGAUAAAAGGUACUCCGGGGAUAACAGGCUGAUACCGCCCAAGAGUUCAUAUCGACGGCGGUGUUUGGCACCUCGAUGUCGGCUCAUCACAUCCUGGGGCUGAAGUAGGUCCCAAGGGUAUGGCUGUUCGCCAUUUAAAGUGGUACGCGAGCUGGGUUUAGAACGUCGUGAGACAGUUCGGUCCCUAUCUGCCGUGGGCGCUGGAGAACUGAGGGGGGCUGCUCCUAGUACGAGAGGACCGGAGUGGACGCAUCACUGGUGUUCGGGUUGUCAUGCCAAUGGCACUGCCCGGUAGCUAAAUGCGGAAGAGAUAAGUGCUGAAAGCAUCUAAGCACGAAACUUGCCCCGAGAUGAGUUCUCCCUGAGACUUAGAGUCUCCUGAAGGAACGUUGAAGACGACGACGUUGAUAGGCCGGGUGUGUAAGCGCAGCGAUGCGUUGAGCUAACCGGUACUAAUGAACCGUGAGGCUUAACCUUACAACGCCG
This 2596-nucleotide ribosomal RNA is filed under the name Escherichia coli. RNAcentral's name for it is "partial 23S ribosomal RNA". It matches the Rfam family "Bacterial large subunit ribosomal RNA", at positions 354 to 2925 of the family's 2925-position model. Lineage: Bacteria; Pseudomonadati; Pseudomonadota; Gammaproteobacteria; Enterobacterales; Enterobacteriaceae. The record is from RNAcentral.